RNAcentral lists this ribosomal RNA (635 nucleotides) under Aspergillus sp. RNAcentral's name for it is "eukaryotic LSU rRNA". The stretch from base 252 to 405 matches the Rfam family "5.8S ribosomal RNA". Lineage: Eukaryota; Fungi; Ascomycota; Eurotiomycetes; Eurotiales; Aspergillaceae. The record is from RNAcentral.
UCUUGGUCAUUUAGAGGAAGUAAAAGUCGUAACAAGGUUUCCGUAGGUGAACCUGCGGAAGGAUCAUUACCGAGUGUAGGGUUCCUAGCGAGCCCAACCUCCCACCCGUGUUUACUGUACCUUAGUUGCUUCGGCGGGCCCGCCAUUCAUGGCCGCCGGGGGCUCUCAGCCCCGGGCCCGCGCCCGCCGGAGACACCACGAACUCUGUCUGAUCUAGUGAAGUCUGAGUUGAUUGUAUCGCAAUCAGUUAAAACUUUCAACAAUGGAUCUCUUGGUUCCGGCAUCGAUGAAGAACGCAGCGAAAUGCGAUAACUAGUGUGAAUUGCAGAAUUCCGUGAAUCAUCGAGUCUUUGAACGCACAUUGCGCCCCCUGGUAUUCCGGGGGGCAUGCCUGUCCGAGCGUCAUUGCUGCCCAUCAAGCACGGCUUGUGUGUUGGGUCGUCGUCCCCUCUCCGGGGGGGACGGGCCCCAAAGGCAGCGGCGGCACCGCGUCCGAUCCUCGAGCGUAUGGGGCUUUGUCACCCGCUCUGUAGGCCCGGCCGGCGCUUGCCGAACGCAAAUCAAUCUUUUUCCAGGUUGACCUCGGAUCAGGUAGGGAUACCCGCUGAACUUAAGCAUAUCAAUAAGCGGAGGAA